RNAcentral lists this unclassified non-coding RNA (297 nucleotides) under Scolecobasidium gamsii. RNAcentral describes it as "Ochroconis gamsii partial contains 5.8S ribosomal RNA, internal transcribed spacer 2, and large subunit ribosomal RNA". The record is from RNAcentral. Lineage: Eukaryota; Fungi; Ascomycota; Dothideomycetes; Venturiales; Sympoventuriaceae.
CGCACAUUGCGCCUCUUGGUAUUCCAGGAGGCACGCCUGUUCGAGCGCCAUUACAAACUCCAAGCGUGGGCUUGAUGUUGGACGGUGUCGGGAGGAGACUCCUGGACACGUCUGGAACGCGUGGGCGCCGCCGCCAGACCACGAGCGUAGCAAGACGGAAAGUCGAUCGUUCGGUUUUGGAUCUGGGGAGCGGCCGUCGGCCGGACCUGUGUUCUUCCGUCGAAGCGACGAAGAACGAGGGACGACGAACCCAAAAAGUUUGGCCUCGGAUCAGGCGGGGAUACCCGCUGAACUUAA